GUCCACGCCGUAAACGAUGGGCACUAGGCGUCGGGGGAGCGACCCUCCCGGUGCCGUCGCUAACGCAAUAAGUGCCCCGCCUGGGGAGUACGGCCGCAAGGUUGAAACUCAAAGGAAUUGACGGGGGCCCGCACAAGCGGUGGAGCAUGUGGUUUAAUUCGAUGCAACGCGAAGAACCUUACCUGGGCCUUGACAUGCACGUGAAAGCUGGUGGAAACACCGGUCCUCCUUCGGGACGCGUGCACAGGUGCUGCAUGGCUGUCGU
RNAcentral lists this ribosomal RNA (265 nucleotides) under uncultured bacterium. Its description in RNAcentral is "partial 16S ribosomal RNA". It matches the Rfam family "Bacterial small subunit ribosomal RNA", at positions 793 to 1055 of the family's 1533-position model. The record is from RNAcentral.